UACAGAGGUCCCAAGCGUUGUUCGGAUUCACUGGGCGUAAAGGGUGCGUAGGCGGUCGGGUAAGUCUGAUGUGAAAUCUCACAGCUUAACUGUGAAACUGCAUUGGAUACUAUCCGGCUAGAGGAAUGGAGGGGAGACUGGAAUACUUGGUGUAGCAGUGAAAUGCGUAGAUAUCAGGAGGAACACCGGUGGCGAAGGCGGAUCUCUGGGCCUUACCUGACGCUCAGGCGCGAAAGCUAGGGGAGCGAACUGG
Molecule: ribosomal RNA, 253 nt
Filed under: uncultured bacterium
Lineage: Bacteria
Description: partial 16S ribosomal RNA
Rfam family: Bacterial small subunit ribosomal RNA
Source: RNAcentral